AAUAGAUACCCCGGUAGUCCACGCCGUAAACGAUGAGUGCUAAGUGUUAGAGGGUUUCCGCCCUUUAGUGCUGCAGCUAACGCAUUAAGCACUCCGCCUGGGGAGUACGGUCGCAAGACUGAAACUCAAAGGAAUUGACGGGGGCCCGCACAAGCGGUGGAGCAUGUGGUUUAAUUCGAAGCAACGCGAAGAACCUUACCAGGUCUUGACAUCCUCUGACAACUCUAGAGAUAGAGCGUUCCCCUUCGGGGGACAGAGUGACAGGUGGUGCAUGGUUGUCGUCAGCUCGUGUCGUGAGAUGUUGGGUUAAGUCCCGCAACGAGCGCAACCCUUGAUCUUAGUUGCCAGCAUUAAGUUGGGCACUCUAAGGUGACUGCCGGUGACAAACCGGAGGAAGGUGGGGAUGACGUCAAAUCAUCAUGCCCCUUAUGACCUGGGCUACACACGUGCUACAAUGGAUGGUACAAAGGGCUGCAAGACCGCGAGGUCAAGCCAAUCCCAUAAAACCCAUCCUCAGUUCGGA
This 523-nucleotide ribosomal RNA is filed under the name uncultured bacterium. RNAcentral describes it as "bacterial SSU rRNA". It matches the Rfam family "Bacterial small subunit ribosomal RNA", at positions 777 to 1297 of the family's 1533-position model. The record is from RNAcentral.